This 253-nucleotide ribosomal RNA is filed under the name uncultured bacterium. RNAcentral describes it as "partial 16S ribosomal RNA". It matches the Rfam family "Bacterial small subunit ribosomal RNA", at positions 524 to 776 of the family's 1533-position model. The record is from RNAcentral.
GACAGAGGUGCCGAGCGUUAGGCGGAAUCACUGGGCUUAAAGCGUGUGUAGGCGGGCCGUUAAGUGUCUUGUGAAAUCCCCCGGCUCAACCGGGGAAUUGCUGGGCAUACUGGCGGUCUUGAGCAAUCUAGGGGCAGAUGGAACAAGUGGUGGAGCGGUGAAAUGCGUAGAUAUCACUUGGAACGCCGAAGGUGAAAACAGGCUGCUGGGGUUGUGCCGACGCUGAGACACGAAAGCCAGGGGAGCAAACGGG